GCCAGUGUCUCCGCCGGUUGAAAGCGCGUGUCUGCGUCGGGUUCUGUUGGAGUGCGUUCGGUGCGCCGUGGGUCCGCGCUGCUUCCACCCAACUUCCUGUUAGUUUCUCUCCUGUCACAAUGGCAUGAUCUCGGCUCACUGCGACCUCUGCUUCCUGGGUUCAAGGAUUCUCCUGCCUCAGCCUCCCAAGUAGCUGGGAUUACAGUUUCCAUCAUUAUCUUCUAUGGAGUUCUUCAUUCCCACAUCUGUGGACCUUAAAAUCCUACCGUUGAGUGCCUGCCUUGGAUCAGCAGUCAGUUCGUUACCUUGGUUCUCAGACGAUGCUUGCAACAACGCCAUGCGAUUCGCCCACUCUUGGAGAAAAUAAGAGAAGUAUCCCUGAAGGAUGAAAUAUCCUCGAAUAUGAAAAGGUCUGCUCUCUGAAGACCAACUGUCUCAGUCUGCUUUUUGCUGCUGUAACAGAAUACCACAGACUUGGUUACAUUAGUUAUACACUCUGGAGGUGACUUGACCUGUCAUUGUGAACAAUUAUUGCUCUUGGACGACCCAGGACAUAGGCCAGCCAGUACGUACCCCAGUGUGUUGGAGAAUCGCGCUCGGCUUCUUCCUCUGUGCUGAGUCAUGAAAGUUGCCGGAGCAGGUGCAGUUACACAACCUCCAGACAUCUAGGCUUGCUGUCAAGGCUUCUGAUCAACAUGAGAUGACCGCCGUGUGGUAAACUGAUGAACCCUGACCCUGAUCAACAUGAGAUGACCGCCGUGUGGUAAACUGAUGAACCCCGACCCUGAUGAACGUGAGAUGACCGCCGUGUGGUAAACUGAUGAACCCCGACCCUGAUGAACGUGAGAUGACCGCCGUGUGGUAAACUGAUGAACCCCGACCCUGAUGAACGUGAGAUGACCGCCGUGUGGUAAACUGAUGAACCCCGACCCUGAUGAACGUGAGAUGACCGCCGUGUGGUAAACUGAUGAACCCCGACCCUGAUCAACGUGAGAUGACCGCCGUGUGGUAAACUGAUGAACCCCGACCCUGAUGAACAUGAGAUGACCGCCGUGUGGUAAACUGAUGAACCCCGACCCUGAUCAACAUGAGAUGACCGCCGUGUGGUAAACUGAUGAACCCCGACCCUGAUCAACAUGAGAUGACUGCCGUGUGGUAAACUGAUGAACCCUGACCCAUUAGGCUUUGGCUACAGAAUGUGGAAAUAAGUUGUGUUACUACAUGUGUGUAAUCCUAGGGUGCAGGACACCGGCCGGGAGGUUCCAUAGAGUGAUGGGUUCUGCAGGUAACUCAUCCUCUAGUCCUCUGUAAGCUCCUAGAAGGAAGAAAUUAUGUCCUUUAGACUAAUAAAAUUCCUCCAAACCAAAUACAGCACCUACUGUGAAGACACAAAGAUACUUUUAGAAUAGUAAAAACUUUAUCCAUUGAGAAAUUCCUUAAUGAAACAGUAUCCAAGAAGUCAUUUGCCAGCAGAUUUCUUAGAGGUGCGAUAAAGAAGAGGACAUUGCCAGUCGUCACAGCAGCUGCAAUAGCUCCUCUCUAUUGUUAAACAGUGGGAUAUCUUGUGCAGGUUUUCAGUUGACAAUCAAUUUUAAAGAUUAGUUUCGGUCCCCAUCAAUCAAUUAUUUAUUAACCCAUCAAUAAAAAUUUAAAUGCUCUGUGAGGUACAAUAGCUAUUAAAAGAGACAGAGGCACUUUCUGUGUCCAGAGGGGCUUUUAGUCUGCUCUGGAAAGCAAGAUGCGUGCAGAUGAGUGACGCAGUGCAUCGUGUGGAUGCAAAGGGAGGGACUCACAUGGGAACCAGAGGAGCUACGAAGGGAGGCAGUGGGGACUGGUGGGUCGAGACCUGGAAAUAACACAUGAAUAGGCAACAAAGGUUUCCUUUCCUCUUCCAUGCACUUCAGUCCUUGAAAAACGUCUUACCACGGAAUUCCACAGCGUACCAAGCGAUUCCACAGCUUGAUGGCACACUCUCCUUUCUCAGCAUUCUUGAAAAUGGCGUGUGAGCCAAGCCAUCUUACUGAGAAAUUACCUUAAACCAUUUGAUGAACCAAAAAUAUUUUGUAAUACCCAUCUCCGACAUUAGGUAGGCAAAUCACACAGAAACACCGAGGUCUUCUGAGUCAUAUUUAUCUGAAAAAUCACAGCUUGGGUGCAUGUGAAGCCAGAGGAGCACUCCUGGGGCCUGCGGUGCCAUCACUCAGCUCCCCUGGGCUUCACAUGGCCAUGGAGCACCCAGCAAGUGUAGGCUCUGAGCCUUCAGGGAGGGGCGGCAUCAGCCAGCACCAUCGUCUCCUGGGUCUUGUGCCUCUUCCUUGGUUGCGGUGUUGUCAGGGCCAGAAUUGGGCAAUUCCGGGUGACAUCCAGGUGUGGCUGCUGACACGGAGCACAGGUGAGGUUCACUGAGGACACCCUGCUCCUGUGGUUUGCAGCCCCGGCCUUCUCUUCGAGGACGCCUCUGCUCUUCUGCCUCACACUCGGAUUGGACCUUCUUCAGCACAGCCAGUGGCCGAGGCUUCCUCCCUGGGGCUCAGUGGAGCAGGACAGAUGCUGCAUCCAAACUCUUCCAUUGGGUUCCAGUCUGUUCCAGUCAUGCCCUUGAGCCUCUAAAGCUCCUAGGUGAGAGACGUAGCAGCUGACAGCACUUCCCACUUGAUUUGGGUGGACUCCAGCCUCCCCAGCAACAAUAAGAGAUCAAAAGCAUCGUUGAGGAAGCAGCUUGCUGAAACGCUGAGUGCCCGCCACUCUCAGGUCAGGUGGGACCGGCAGGCCAGCAUGAGUUCCUGAACACUUGGUUCUCAAUACUGGCCACAGCCACACUGUAAGGGGAAACAAGAGGGCACUGUAUGCAAACAUCUCUUGAACUCUGGAGUCUGCUCACCUUCCUGCCUCAAGCCCCUCUCCCACGUGGUCCAGUCACCAUUCUCCACAGAGACUACCCUAAAACCCAGCGACUCUCGUGUGCCUGCAGAAUGGCACAGCCCGUUCUCAUAGCAGCACUCCUGUUUAAUCAGAGGGAUGUUAACGACCAAGUCAUAUUUGCUCGAUUUGUGUUCAACAUAUUUCAUUUGUACCGAUAAAACUUAAAAAUAUCCCC
This 3097-nucleotide long non-coding RNA is filed under the name Homo sapiens (human). RNAcentral's name for it is "long intergenic non-protein coding RNA 1128". The record is from RNAcentral. Lineage: Eukaryota; Metazoa; Chordata; Mammalia; Primates; Hominidae.